RNA transcript from Cebus imitator (Panamanian white-faced capuchin), 2794 nucleotides. It is a transcript of the gene named zinc finger protein 737-like, with no coding region annotated. NCBI's taxonomy places the organism in Eukaryota, Metazoa, Chordata, Mammalia, Primates, Cebidae. The record is from RefSeq and is a predicted model, not a curated record. The transcript has 4 exons.
UCUUCUUUCAGUCCGACGUCCAAACACAUCACCUGUCAUUCAGGGCCUGAAGGGGCGGGGCUUUAAACGUCUUCCAAUCAGGGACGCCGGGCUGGAAACCUUCCAAUCAGACAUGCAGCUGGAGCGGACACGGCGGCUUCCGGGUUUGGCGGGGCCUUUGUCUCUGGCUGCGGCGGGAGCUCCGGGUCUCGUCUUCCACGCUCUGUGUCCUCUGUUCCAGGAGGCCCAGUUCUAUGGCCCUGUGACCUGCAGGUAUUGGGAGAACCACAGCUAAAACGCCAGGACCUCCCGGAAGCCUAGAAAUGGCACCAUUGACAUUUAGGGAUGUGACUGUAGAAUUCUCUCUGGAGGAGUGGCAAUGCCUGGACACUGUUCAGCGGAAUUUAUAUAGGGAUGUGAUGUUAGAGAACUACAGAAACCUGGCCUUCCUGGGUAUUGCUGUCUCUAAGCCAGACAUGAUCACCUGUCUGGAGCAAGGAAAAGAGCCCUGGAAUAUGAAGAGAUAUGAGAUGGUGGCCAAACCCCCAGUUCUGUGUUCUCCUUUUGCUGAAAACCUUUGGCCCGAGCAAGACAUGAAAGAUUUUUUCCAAAAAGUCAUACUGAGGAGAUAUGAUAAAUGUGGACAUGAGAAUUUACAAUUAAGAAAAGGCUGUAAAAGUAUGGAUGCAUGUAAGGUGUGCAAAGGAGAUUAUCACGGACUUAACCGAUGUCUGAUAACUAUCGAGAGCAAAUUAUAUCAAUGUGAUAAAUAUGUGAAAGUCUUUUAUAAAUUUUCAAAUUCAGGUAGACAUGAGAUAAGACACACUAAAAAGAAAACAUUGAAAUGUAAAGAAUGUGGCAAAUUGUUUUGCAUGCUUUCACAACUAACUCUACAUAAGAGAAUUCAUAUUAAAGAGAAUUCCCACAAAUGUGAAGAAUGUGGAAAAGCCUUUAACCGGUCCUCAUACCUUACUUGACAUAAGAGAAUUCACAGUGGAGAGAAACCCUGCAAAUGUGAAGAGUGUGGCAAGGCUUUUAACCGGACCUCAUACCUUACUCGACAUAAGAGAAUUCACAGUGGAGACAAACCCUGCAAAUGUGAAGAGUGUGGCAAAACCUUUAACCAGUCUUCAUACCUUACUCGACAUAAGAUAAUUCAUAGUGGAGAGAAACCCUACAAAUGUGAAGAAUGUGGCAAAGCCUUUAACCGAUCUUCACACCUUACUCGACAUAAGAUAAUUCAUACUGGAGAGAAACCCUACAAAUGUGAACAGUGUGGCAAAGCCUUUAACCGAUCCUCAUACCUUACCCAACAUAAGAGAAUUCAUACUGGAGAGAGACCCUACAAAUGUAAAGAAUGUGGCAAAGCCUUUAAUGACUUCUCAGCCCUUACUCGACAUAAGACAAUUCAUACUGGGGAGAAACCCUACAAAUGUAAAGAAUGUGGCAAAGCCUUUAAUUACUUCUCAACUCUUACUCGACAUAAGAUAAUUCAUACCGGAGAGAAACCCUACAAAUGUGAACAGUGUGGCAAAGCCUUUAACUGGUCUUCACACCUUACUCGACAUAAGAUAAUUCAUACUGGAGAGAAACCCUACAAGUGUGAACAGUGUGGCAAAGCCUUUAACUGGUCUUCACACCUUACUCAACACAAGAGAAUUCAUACUGGAGAGAAACCCUAUAAAUGUAAAGAAUGUGGCAAAGCCUUUAAGCAGUCCUCAACUUUUACUCAACAUAAGAUUAUUCAUACUGGAGAGAAACCCUACAAAUGUAAAGAAUGUGGCAAAGCCUUUAACGACUUCUCAACACUUACUCAACAUAAGAUAAUUCAUACUGGAAAGAAACCAUACAAGUGUAAAAAUGUGGCAAAGCAUAAGGUAAUUUAUACUGGAAAGAAACCCUACAAAUGUGAAGAAUGUGGCAAACCUUUUAAUUGUUUCUCAAACUUUACUGUACAUAAGAGAAUUCAUGCUAGAGAGAACCCCAACAAAUGAGAAGAAUGUGGCAAUGCUAGUAACCAUUCCUCAAACCUUACUAAACAUAACCCAUGAUGGAGAAAAACCCUAUAAAUGUAAAGAAUGUGUCAAAGCUUUUAACGGUUCCUCAGUCUUUACUAAACAUAAGGGAAUUCAUAAUAGAGAAACCCUACAAAUCUGAAGAAUGUGGGCUGGCUUUUAACAAAUCAUCAACAUUUACUAAGCACAAAAUAAUUAAUACUGGAUGGAAACCCUUCAAAUGGGAUGACUGUGGCAUAGCCUUUACCCAGUUCUCAACUCUUACUAAACAUGAGAAUUCAUGUAGAAGAUAAAGCCUACAAAUAUGAAGAAAGUGAGAAAGCCUUUAAAAGUUCUCACCCCUUAUUACACAUAAUUUAUACUGGACAGAAAUCCUAAAGUGUGAAGAAUGUCACAAAGCCCUUAACAACUUCUCAAUUCUUAAUAGAUACAAGAUGAUUUAUACUGGAGUGAAACGCUACAAUCCUGAAUGAUGUCACAGUGCUUUUAACAACACCUCAAAGUUUUCUAAACAAAAAAUAUAUAUACUAGUGCAAAACUCUAGAGACAUAAAGAAUGUGAAAAAGCUUUUAAAUGGUUUUCACAGUUGAUUGCAGGUAAAAUAAUUUAUACUGGAGAUAACUCCAAGAGUGAAGAAUACGGCAAAACUCCUAACCAGCGUUCACAACUUGUUGCAUAGGGAAGCAUUUAUACUUGAGAAAUGGUGUACAGAUAUAAAGAAUGUGGCAAAGUCAGUAAUAUCUGCCCAUCAUAUUAUGCAACAGCAGAGUUUAUAUUUAAUAAAAGUAUUAUAAAUACAA